Long non-coding RNA from Gadus morhua (Atlantic cod), 1351 nucleotides. RefSeq lists it as uncharacterized. The record is from RefSeq and is a predicted model, not a curated record. NCBI's taxonomy places the organism in Eukaryota, Metazoa, Chordata, Actinopteri, Gadiformes, Gadidae. The transcript is spliced from 2 exons.
CACACACACACACACACACACACACACACACACAAUUAGGUUGAGUAAACCUGCUUAGUUUUUUAGGUUUUUAAAAGAUCUCCACAAGGAGACAAACACAAACACGCACAUCAAGGAGCAAAGAGUACACCCGCAAAUAACUACUGUGUGUUUUCACCUUUUCUACUCCCUUGUUUCUGUAACACACACACACACACACACGCACACGCACACGCACACACACACACAAACGUGUUUGCUAAGAAUUUCUAUAUAUUUAAAAAAAUAUCUAAUACAAAUAUAAUAAGUACUGAGUAUUUCUACCUCCUCGUUUCCAUUAUUUCUGUUAUUACCAAAGACGUUAUGGUUUAAUUGAUCAGAAAUGACGAUCACCCCGUUUCCCGCGGCGAUGAAGCCGUCCUGCGGUCCCGUCUCUGGAGCGUUUACCGCUUUAACCUCCGCUUAUCUAAGUAUUAUUCCACCCCCCCCGUCCCCCCCCGUCCCCUAAGGCGAGCUGUGAGCCCACGGAGCGCGCCCGGACCCCUCCAACCCCCACCACCUCCACCACGGGCCCCGCGGGGCCCAAGAGGAUGAAGCUCGCUGGCGCCCCCGCCGGGAGUGUCCCUGAGCCUUCAGCCUCCAACUGUGUCAUCCUGUGAUGGACGAGGUCAGAGGUCAGAGGUCAGGAAGAUCCCAAGGUCAUGUGACAUGGGUCAAAUCAACAAUUAUAUAUCAAUUUAUUUUUUAAUAUUUUUCGCCAUAUUCAAUUUUUUUAUAUGGAAACAUUAUACCGUUGGUGCCAAAGACAGAAGUCUUAUCCAAUUGAUUUUGGAGACCUUUGCAUCGCUACUCUGACAAUUAUUAUUUUGAUUAUUGUUAUAAAUACUACUACUAAAGCUUCAGCUGUGUGUCCCAUGUGCAAUAGAGCACAUUUGUGUGCUUUCGAAAGGACGCCGGGAAAUCGAUUAUUGAUGACUGAAAGAAAAAAAGAAGUGAAAUCGAUUAUCUUGAUUAAAGCGAGCUGCUUUUAACCGAAUGGGUGCAUGUUUACCAGCUGCACCUCAUUCCACCACCGCAAUGUGAUUAUACUAAUCCAUUUUAUAAACUAUCAUGUGAUUAUUAUAUGCUACUGUAAAUACACCAAUCCUUGGAUAAACCUGACAGUUUAUCCUUCGACGUAUCCCGUCGCUUUUUUAUCUUUUUUUAAUCAUGACGUGAUUUUUGCCUUUCUGAUUAGGCUCUAUGUUUUAUACUGAAUUUCUGAUUUUUGUUCGUUUAUCUGUUUUUUCUAUGCUGCUAUCUGUUACACUGGUCAAAAAAUAACAUUCCUAUUGCCCUUUAUCAAUAAAACUUCAUUCUAAAUGUUGUGAAA